AACGAACGCUGGCGGCAUGCCUAACACAUGCAAGUCGAACGAGACCUUCGGGUCUAGUGGCGCACGGGUGCGUAACGCGUGGGAACCUGCCCUUAGGUUCGGAAUAACUCCCCGAAAGGGGUGCUAAUACCGGAUAAUGUCUUCGGACCAAAGAUUUAUCGCCUUUGGAUGGGCCCGCGUUGGAUUAGCUAGUUGGUAGGGUAAAAGCCUACCAAGGCGACGAUCCAUAGCUGGUCUGAGAGGAUGAUCAGCCACACUGGGACUGAGACACGGCCCAGACUCCUACGGGAGGCAGCAGUGGGGAAUAUUGGACAAUGGGCGAAAGCCUGAUCCAGCAAUGCCGCGUGAGUGAUGAAGGCCUUAGGGUUGUAAAGCCCUUUUACCCGGGAUGAUAAUGACAGUACCGGGAGAAUAAGCGCCGGCUAACUCCGUG
Molecule: ribosomal RNA, 433 nt
Filed under: uncultured bacterium
Lineage: Bacteria
Description: partial 16S ribosomal RNA
Rfam family: Bacterial small subunit ribosomal RNA
Source: RNAcentral